Arabidopsis lyrata subsp. lyrata is the source of this 406-nucleotide long non-coding RNA. RefSeq lists it as uncharacterized. The record is from RefSeq and is a predicted model, not a curated record. Lineage: Eukaryota; Viridiplantae; Streptophyta; Magnoliopsida; Brassicales; Brassicaceae. The transcript is spliced from 2 exons.
GAUUUCUGGUUUAAGUUAACCGGAUCGAUUUGACCGGUUGGACCAUUGACCGUUGACUGUUGACCGUUGACUUUGACCGUUGACCGUUGACUUUGACCAGUUGACCCGAAAACCGUUUUUCUUCGUUCGGACGCCGUUUGACUCGAUUUUUCGUUCCGGUUUCAGAUCCGGAGUCGGUUUAUUCAUUCGAGGUCCAGAAGUCGUAGGUUCAGCAUUGCUAAGGUGAGCCAGACGAGUAGUUAUGACUUGAUGAGUUGGGAUGUGUCAUUUUGGGAUGGAUUAUCGUUUUCAGUAUUCUAUUCGAGACUUUUAUUAAACAGUCGUGUUAUCGACUUAUGUGGAUUUAGUAUGUUUUAUCGGAUUUUUGCGCUGGUAUUUUAUAAAGAACUGGAUGUUUAUGGAAAAA